This 365-nucleotide ribosomal RNA is filed under the name uncultured Neisseria sp. Its description in RNAcentral is "bacterial SSU rRNA". It matches the Rfam family "Bacterial small subunit ribosomal RNA", at positions 30 to 390 of the family's 1533-position model. The record is from RNAcentral. Lineage: Bacteria; Pseudomonadati; Pseudomonadota; Betaproteobacteria; Neisseriales; Neisseriaceae.
UUGAACGCUGGCGGCAUGCUUUACACAUGCAAGUCGAACGGCAGCACGAAAGAGCUUGCUCUUUUGGUGGCGAGUGGCGAACGGGUGAGUAAUACAUUGGAACGUACCGAGUAAUGGGGGAUAACUGUCCGAAAGGAUGGCUAAUACCGCAUACGCUCUGAGGAGGAAAGCGGGGGACCUUCGGGCCUCGCGUUAUUCGAGCGGCCAAUGUCUGAUUAGCUAGUUGGUGGGGUAAAGGCCUACCAAGGCGACGAUCAGUAGUGGGUCUGAGAGGAUGAUCCGCCACACUGGGACUGAGACACGGCCCAGACUCCUACGGGAGGCAGCAGUGGGGAAUUUUGGACAAUGGGCGAAAGCCUGAUCCA